RNAcentral lists this ribosomal RNA (253 nucleotides) under uncultured bacterium. Its description in RNAcentral is "partial 16S ribosomal RNA". It matches the Rfam family "Bacterial small subunit ribosomal RNA", at positions 524 to 776 of the family's 1533-position model. The record is from RNAcentral.
UACGGAGGAGGCAAGCGUUAUCCGGAAUUAUUGGGCGUAAAGCGUCCGUAGGCGGCUAGUCAAGUCUGCGGUCAAAGACUGGGGCUUAACCCUGGAAAGGCCGUGGAAACUGACGAGCUAGAGUGCAGUAGGGGUAGAGGGAAUUCCCGGUGUAGCGGUGAAAUGCGUAGAGCUCGGGAAGAACAUCGGUGGCGAAAGCGCUCUACUGGACUGCAACUGACACUCAGGGACGAAAGCUAGGGGAGCGAAUGGG